UGACGCUCAUGUACGAAAGCGUGGGUAGCAAACAGGAUAGAUACCCUGGUAGUCACGCCUAAACGAUGUCAACUGGUGUGGGGAGUGAAAUCCUUAGUAACGAAGCUAACGCGUGAAGUUGACCGCCUGGGAGUACGGUCGCAAGAUUAAAACUCAAAGGAAUUGACGGGGACCCGCACAAGCGGUGGAUGAUGUGGAUUAAUUCGAUGCAACGCGAAAAACCUUACCUACCCUUGACAUGUCCGGAAUCCUGCUGAGAGGUGGGAGUGCCCGAAAGGGAGUCGGAACACAGGUGCUGCAUGGCUGUCGUCAGCUCGUGUCGUGAGAUGUUGGGUUAAGUCCCGCAACGAGCGCAACCCUUAUCAUUAGUUGCUACGCAAGGGCACUCUAAUGAGACUGCCGGUGACAAACCGGAGGAAGGUGGGGAUGACGUCAAGUCCUCAUGGCCCUUAUGGGUAGGGCUUCACACGUCAUACAAUGGUCGGUACAGAGGGUUGCCAAGCCGCGAGGUGGAGCCAAUCCCAGAAAGCCGAUCGUAGUCCGGAUUGUUCUCUGCAACUCGAGAGCAUGAAGUCGGAAUCGCUAGUAAUCGCGGAUCAGCAUGUCGCGGUGAAUACGUUCCCGGGUCUUGUACACACCGCCCGUCACACCAUGGGAGUGGAAUCUGGCAGAAGUAGGUAGCCUAACCGCAAGGAGGGCGCUUACCACGCUGGGUUUCAUGACUGGGGUGAAGUCGUAACAAGGUAACCGUAA
This 753-nucleotide ribosomal RNA is filed under the name uncultured bacterium. Its description in RNAcentral is "bacterial SSU rRNA". It matches the Rfam family "Bacterial small subunit ribosomal RNA", at positions 741 to 1505 of the family's 1533-position model. The record is from RNAcentral.